ACAUUGGUGGUUCAGUAAUAGAAUUCUUGCCUUCCACGUGGGAGACCCGGGCUCGAUUUCUGGCCGAUGCA
This 71-nucleotide transfer RNA is filed under the name Loxodonta africana (African savanna elephant). It matches the Rfam family "tRNA". Rfam says of the family: Transfer RNA (tRNA) molecules are approximately 80 nucleotides in length. Lineage: Eukaryota; Metazoa; Chordata; Mammalia; Proboscidea; Elephantidae. The record is from Rfam by way of RNAcentral.